This 711-nucleotide long non-coding RNA is filed under the name Canis lupus familiaris (dog). Its description in RNAcentral is "lncRNA (ENSCAFG00040007799.1)". Lineage: Eukaryota; Metazoa; Chordata; Mammalia; Carnivora; Canidae. The record is from RNAcentral.
AUUGUUCUCCCUCCCUCUCUCUCUCUCUCUCUUUUUGUAUACUAACAACUACCUCAAGCGACAGGUGAUUAUUGCCCUUUUUUGUUAACAGAAGAUGACAGUCACCUUUAGGAUAUAGCAAGCAAAGUGUGACUUAAAGCCUGACUACCUUUAAGGAGAGAAGGUCACAAUGCCAGGAUGGAUCAUGACUAAGAGGAGAGCAAUAUUCAAAGGGAGCAAAUAUCUUCUCCAGAAUUUUGGACUUUAUGGGAACACAUACCGAAAGUUGGAAACAGAGACCUUCGUGGACCCUCUGUAAAAUACCUGCCUCUGUGAAUGGCUGCCCUCGAGUGCCCUGGCUUUUGACAGUGCAAGAAUGACUGCCUUUUGGGGCUGGACUGUACUAUGGGGGAGAAACUAGAUCCUAUUUGUGCAGAAAUGGAUCACCUCAUUGAGAGCUUUCUGUAACUACAACUACCAGAGGCCUAUUGCUUAACUAUUUCAUGACCACAUUAAUAUAGAGUAACACUGUUAUGUGUAAAAGAAGCCUCCAUCUUUUUUUUUCCUUCUUUCCGUGAGGCUUAGGGGGAUGGGCAGUGACAGAGAGUUUAAGUGAAAUGUUUUGAUCCACAUUAGAAAAGUUUUAGUUUACCUACAAAUUGCAUACUAAAAGUUAAAAUAUUUCACAUUGCAGAGAAAUAACAACAUGGUUUUCUUGACCUUAAAAGACUC